UACGUAGGGUGCGAGCGUUGUCCGGAAUUAUUGGGCGUAAAGAGCUUGUAGGCGGUUUGUCGCGUCUGCUGUGAAAAUCCGGGGCUCAACCCCGGACUUGCAGUGGGUACGGGCAGACUAGAGUGUGGUAGGGGAGACUGGAAUUCCUGGUGUAGCGGUGGAAUGCGCAGAUAUCAGGAGGAACACCGAUGGCGAAGGCAGGUCUCUGAGCCACUACUGACGCUGAGAAGCGAAAGCAUGGGGAGCGAACAGG
This 253-nucleotide ribosomal RNA is filed under the name uncultured bacterium. RNAcentral's name for it is "partial 16S ribosomal RNA". It matches the Rfam family "Bacterial small subunit ribosomal RNA", at positions 524 to 776 of the family's 1533-position model. The record is from RNAcentral.